This is a long non-coding RNA of Meriones unguiculatus (Mongolian gerbil), 644 nucleotides long. RefSeq lists it as uncharacterized. The record is from RefSeq and is a predicted model, not a curated record. NCBI's taxonomy places the organism in Eukaryota, Metazoa, Chordata, Mammalia, Rodentia, Muridae. The transcript has 3 exons.
CUCAUAUCAUUCAGGCUGGCCUUGUGUGGUUGAAGAUGCCCCGAACUUCUGAUCUGCCUGCCUCCUACUUCCUGAGUGCAGGGAUUACAGGCGUGUGCCAUCAUGACCAGUUUAAACUCAAUUUGAACCAGCAGCAAAGCCGGGCGUUCUCAGAUGGCUACUCAGAACCCAGUUUGAAAGAAGAUAUAUCCCAUGGAUGCUGCUUCUCCAGUGCCAUACCUGCCUGUCUGCUGCCAUGUUCCCUGCCAUGAUGAUUGUAGUUUCCAACAUCCUGAAACUGGAAGUUCGAGACAGGGUUUCUCCGUGUAGCCCUGGCUGUCCUGUAUUCACGCUGUAGACCAGGCUGGUCUUGAACUCACAGAGAUCUGCCUGCCUCUACCUCAUGAGCGCUGGAAUAAAGGCAUGCACCACCUCUCCUGGCUGCAUUUUCUUAAUUAGUGAUGUAUGCGGGAGGGCCUAGGCCAUUAUGCCUGGUUCCACCCCUAGGCUGGUUGGUGGUCCUGGCUUCUAUAAGAAAGCAGGCUGAAUAAAGUGUAAUUAAUAAAAAAAAAAAAAAAAAAAAGCAGUCUGAGAAAGUCAUGGAGAACAAGCCGGUGAGCAGCUCUCCUCUAUGGCCUCUGCGUCAGUACCUAACACCAGGUUUC